AUGGAAGGAGAUAUGAAUCAAAAUAGAUUAAUAACAUAUAUAGCUCCAGACUUAAUGAUGCCUGUAAUAGAAUUUAUUGAGAAAAUGAGCUUUGGGUUUCAAACCAGAGGAUAUGAAGAUUUUAAAGGAACAAAUUUGUUAGUAAGCAUUGAAUUCAUAGGAAGACUCACGAAUAAAAGAAGCUCUAGAUACAAAGUAAACGUAAAUGACGUAAUAGAGAGCAUGCAAUCUAAAGGCAUAAAAUUUAUGAGCCCUCUUAAAAUUGGUUCUGAAGAGAGAGCAGGAGAGGAAUGGAAUAUAAGCGAAUUAAUAGAAAAGAAAGAGUUGAGGCAGCCAGAAAAUUAUAUAAGCUACCAAAAUAGCGAAGGAAGUAGUAGCAUUAGAUUAUUGAACUAUAAAUCCGCAGCCGUAGACAAAAUAGAACCUCUUUUGUCAGAAGCAGAGAGUAGUGAUAGUAGGAAUAAAGGAGUAAAAGAAUGCAUGGAAAAGGUAGACUUAGAAGAUGAAUUAAAACAUUGGGAAGAAAAAUUAAAACGCAUAAACUGGGAAUAUAAUAAUUCAAUGACAUCAGAUUGGCCUAAAAUAAGAGAAAGAGAAUUAUUCUUUAUUAGAGAAAUUUCGAGAAUAAAAAUAUUAAUAAAGGAUAAAAAACCAGUCAUUAGUAACCCAGUGGUGCCAAAGAAUAACAUUAAACGCGGAGAAAAUACCGAUAUCAAGAAUAAAGCUGAAAGUCAUAAAGAGAAAGCCAUAAGUGAAGAAGAUCAAUGGGAUAUCAAUAAUAAGAUAUUAUUAGAAAGAUAUAAAGAAGAAGAAGAAGAACCAUGGAAUCAAUAUGAAGAUCAAAAUUAUAUUGAUUUCGAGCAAAAUGCUGAUUUUAUAAACUCGUUAGAUGACAAAAUUCUGCAUAAUUUAGAAAAUGUGAUGGAAGCCAUGGAAGUAGAUUUAGGUGGUCAUAAAAGAAGAAGAGGUUAUGGCGAGUCAUCUGUAAAGAGAGAAGGAGAAAGAGAGAGACCUACUCGAUCUUCUGGAAAAUGGCCUCCUGAAAAAGAUGAUUAUCAACCUACAUAUAUCCCUGGACAAUAUACAUUUAUGGGUUCUAAAAGAAGAGGUUUUGAAAAGGCAGUGCAGUUCCAAAACUCUAGGAAUGAUGGUGCAAUUCUGAAUUUAACAGCCCAUGACCCUAUAGAUUGGCCGAAUAUAAUUAGUGUGUGGAAAGGAUUAAUAGUCCAAAAAUAUAUACAAAAUCAAUAUAAUAUAGGGAAUAAGGUGGAAGAUAUGAUAACAUAUCUUGAAACAUUUUUGGGAGAAUCAGUAAAAAUAUUCUGGGAACAAUGGGUAGAGACAUAUCCAGACCAAUACGAAGAACUAAAAAGAGCUGGGAGUAAUCCUAAUAACUUUGCCAAUGUCAUAUCAAAUAUGGUCAUAGCAGAAGAUCCAGAAUUGGGUCAUACCACAUUGCAAAAUGAAAGGUUGAGAGAAAUAGAAAAAUUAACUUUAACAAGUUGGAAAGGUAUAAAGGAAUUUUCUCAGCAUUAUUUAUACAAUGCUACCACAGCUAAGCAAGGCUACAAUAAAGGUGUGGUUGAAAGGUAUUUUAAUAGGUUACCAUAUCCAUUAGGAUCAAUAAUAUUUGAAGAAUAUAAGAAAGAUACUGCAGGCAUAGUCAUAAAUAUAUCUCAAUUUAUAACGUUUGUGUUUAAACAUCUUAGAAAGGUAUGUACAAGUAUACAGGCCCAGAGGUCUAUGAAGAAAUCCGAUUAUAGUUUCUGCAAUAAAAUCGUCCAAAUACCACUAACAUAUGGCGAAGAAAGACACAGGAGUAAGAAAUAUUAUAAACCACAAAGAGAUAAUAGAAAUUUUAGAACAAAGAAAAGAUAUUUCUUACGAAGAUCGGAUAAUAGAGCCCCAUUCCUGCAUAAAAGAAAUGUUAGAAGAUAUAAUCCUAGAAAAUCAUAUGAUAAAACAUGUAGAUGUUUCAUAUGCAAUUCACCUGAUCAUUUAAGUAAAACUUGCCCUAAUAAAGAUCAGAAAAGGUACUCUAGUAAAUAUGAAGAGCAAGAGAGAGUAUUAAUUAUAGAUAGUGUUAAUGAGAAUAUACUAGUAUGUGAUGAUGAAGUAAAAGAUGAUGAGUCAAUAUACUCCAUCAUAGAAACAGAUGAAAUAGAAAAUGAAGAGCUAGAAGAAGAAUCUAGUGAAGAUGAAAUCGAUUUAAUAGAUGAUCUAUCAGGAUUAAAAAUAGAGAUGAUGAACCAGGUAGAUUGUGAACAUGAUUGGAUUAGGGGAAAAGGAGACUAUAAUAUAAAAUGUGCCUUUUGCAUAUAUUACCCCAGCCAAGAGAAUAGGUAUACAUGUAGUUUAUGUUUAAGACAAGCUUGUAACUCAGGCCUAAAAUCUACGAAUCAAAGGUGGAGACAAGAAAUAGAAUAUGAACCUGAAGAUAGAAUAUUAUCUAGCAGAGUUAGAAAUCUAGAAAAUAGACUAAAUAAGUUAGAGGCAGAACUAGAAGAUCUAAAAUCUAACUUAGAAAAUAAAGCAAAUACAGAAGAAGAGAACAUUAUAGUUGAAGGCACGGAAAUAGAAGAGCAAAUAAUAACAGAAAGAGAUCAAAUAAUAGAACCAAAUAAAUAG
Molecule: ribosomal RNA, 2628 nt
Filed under: Triticum aestivum (bread wheat)
Lineage: Eukaryota; Viridiplantae; Streptophyta; Magnoliopsida; Poales; Poaceae
Description: partial small subunit ribosomal RNA
Source: RNAcentral